RNAcentral lists this ribosomal RNA (497 nucleotides) under uncultured bacterium. RNAcentral describes it as "partial 16S ribosomal RNA". It matches the Rfam family "Bacterial small subunit ribosomal RNA", at positions 28 to 507 of the family's 1533-position model. The record is from RNAcentral.
GAUGAACGCUGGCGGCGUGCCUAAUACAUGCAAGUCGAGCGAACGGACGAGAAGCUUGCUUCUCUGAUGUUAGCGGCGGACGGGUGAGUAACACGUGGAUAACCUACCUAUAAGACUGGGAUAACUUCGGGAAACCGGAGCUAAUACCGGAUAAUAUUUUGAACCGCAUGGUUCAAAAGUGAAAGACGGUCUUGCUGUCACUUAUAGAUGGAUCCGCGCUGCAUUAGCUAGUUGGUAAGGUAACGGCUUACCAAGGCAGCGAUGCAUAGCCGACCUGAGAGGGUGAUCGGCCACACUGGAACUGAGACACGGUCCAGACUCCUACGGGAGGCAGCAGUAGGGAAUCUUCCGCAAUGGGCGAAAGCCUGACGGAGCAACGCCGCGUGAGUGAUGAAGGUCUUCGGAUUGUAAAACUCUGUUAUUAGGGAAGAACAUAUGUGUAAGUAACUGUGCACAUCUUGACGGUACCUAAUCAGAAAGCCACGGCUAACUACGUG